GGCUAGAGAGGGAUGUGCUGUUGUUUGGCUAUGAAGAAUGUUUAGCAUGCCUAAUCUUCUUACAGAAGGGCUUGGUUCCCAGGUGCACCAGCAUGUUAAACAUCCUGAAGAAAGAAUCCUGUGUUAGUGCUCCCAAAUGAUGUUUGGUGACUCCUCUAGCACCAUGAGGGGCCCUGCCAUAGUCUUAUUCUGGUGCCAGCUGGGGGCAGUCUGACUUGCUGUUUCCCCCAGACUCCACUUCUCCAGGGUCCCUUACUAUUUGCCAAAUUCUUACAUUACUCAGAGAGAGCCCAGGGGCUCCUUUUAGCUUGGGAAAAGGGUAAUUUCGGAUAAGGAGGUUGUAGCGAGGCAGAGCCAUUACAGAGCAGGGUUCCUCAGUCUCCAGCAUUGCAUCAAGAUGCCUGUCUUCUGCUUCUGCUGCUGCUGCUAAGUCGCUUCAGUCGUGUCCGACUCUGUGUGACCCCGUAGAUGGCAGCCCACCAGGCUCCCCCGUCCCUGGGAUUCUCCAGGCAAGAACACUGGAGUGGGUUGCCAUUUCCUUCUCCAAUGCAUGGAAGUGAAAAGUGAAAGCGAAGUCACUCAGUCGUGUCCGACUCUUCCCGACCCCAUGGACUGCGGCCUACCAGGCUACUCCGCCCAUGGGAUUUUCCAGGCAAGAGUACUGAGUGCGGUGCCAUUGCCUUCUCCGCCCUGUCUUCUAUGAGUUCUUAUUUGGUGUGAAACAAAAAGAUAUGUUACAGCUGAAACUUCUGAGUGCCUCCAGGUGGAGGCCUUCUCCUUUUAGAAUGCUCAGCUCCUCUCUCGAAUCACUUCCUCCCUCCCAGGCUCUGAGGCUUUCAGGGGCCCCUCACCAAAAAGGAUGGGUGGCUUAGGCUGAGAAACAGAUGCUCUUUCUCAGGGCCCUGAUUCUUUGGUGCCAUUUCCAAAUGACCUCUUUUCACCUUCUGAGUGUUCAAACCUCGAGGGUCUACGUUAAGCAUCUUGACUUGAGGGAAAGGUCCCAGACAGAUCCUCAGCUACUUUUAGUU
This is a long non-coding RNA of Bos taurus (domestic cattle), 1028 nucleotides long. NCBI's taxonomy places the organism in Eukaryota, Metazoa, Chordata, Mammalia, Artiodactyla, Bovidae. The record is from Ensembl.